RNAcentral lists this transfer RNA (75 nucleotides) under Rubrobacter sp. RNAcentral describes it as "tRNA-Val". It matches the Rfam family "tRNA". Rfam says of the family: Transfer RNA (tRNA) molecules are approximately 80 nucleotides in length. Their secondary structure includes four short double-helical elements and three loops (D, anti-codon, and T loops). The record is from RNAcentral. Lineage: Bacteria; Bacillati; Actinomycetota; Rubrobacteria; Rubrobacterales; Rubrobacteraceae.
GGGCGAUUAGCUCAGCGGGAGAGCACUUCCUUGACGUGGAAGGGGUCAGUGGUUCGAUUCCACUAUCGCCCACCA